This 522-nucleotide ribosomal RNA is filed under the name uncultured bacterium. RNAcentral's name for it is "bacterial SSU rRNA". It matches the Rfam family "Bacterial small subunit ribosomal RNA", at positions 777 to 1308 of the family's 1533-position model. The record is from RNAcentral.
AAUAGAUACCGGGUAGUCCACGCCGUAAACGAUGGAUACUAGCUGUUGGGGGCGACCUCAGUGGCUAAGCGAAAGUGAUAAGUAUCCCACCUGGGGAGUACGUUCGCAAGAAUGAAACUCAAAGGAAUUGACGGGGGCCCGCACAAGCGGUGGAGCAUGUGGUUUAAUUCGAUGAUACGCGAGGAACCUUACCAAGGCUUAAAUGCAGACUGACCGUUUUGGAAACAGAACUUUCGCAAGACAGUCUACAAGGUGCUGCAUGGUUGUCAUCAGCUCGUGCCGUGAGGUGUCAGGUUAAGUCCUAUAACGAGCGCAACCCCUGUUGUUAGUUGCCAGCGAGUAGUGUCGGGAACUCUAACAAGACUGCCAGUGCAAACUGUGAGGAAGGUGGGGAUGACGUCAAAUCAUCACGGCCCUUACGCCUUGGGCUACACACGUGCUACAAUGGCCGGUACAGAGAGCAGCCACCUCGCGAGGGGGAGCGAAUCUACAAAGCCGGUCACAGUUCGGAUCGGAGUCUGC